RNAcentral lists this transfer RNA (74 nucleotides) under Caudoviricetes sp. RNAcentral describes it as "tRNA-Ile". It matches the Rfam family "tRNA". From Rfam's summary of the family: Transfer RNA (tRNA) molecules are approximately 80 nucleotides in length. Their secondary structure includes four short double-helical elements and three loops (D, anti-codon, and T loops). The record is from RNAcentral. Lineage: Duplodnaviria; Heunggongvirae; Uroviricota; Caudoviricetes.
UGACGUAUAGCUCAGUUGGUUAGAGCGUCACACUGAUAUUGUGAAAGUCGGCAGUUCGAGUCUGUCUACGUCAA